RNA transcript from Apis laboriosa (Himalayan honeybee), 1448 nucleotides. It is a transcript of the gene named developmentally-regulated GTP-binding protein 2, with no coding region annotated. The record is from RefSeq and is a predicted model, not a curated record. Lineage: Eukaryota; Metazoa; Arthropoda; Insecta; Hymenoptera; Apidae. The transcript is spliced from 6 exons.
CGUAAGAGUAGUGUAUGUCAUUUUUGUAAAUGUAAAUUUAUUGUACAUUUGUUACUUUAUUAAAAUGGGAAUAUUAGAAAAAAUAUCUGAAAUUGAAAAAGAAAUUGCUCGGACACAAAAAAAUAAAGCUACUGAGUAUCAUUUAGGUUUAUUAAAAGCAAAACUUGCGAAAUAUAGAUCACAACUUUUAGAACCACCAAAAAAAUCUGAAAAAGGAGAAGGAUUUGAUGUAUUAAAAUCAGGAGAUGCAAGAGUAGCUUUAAUAGGCUUUCCUUCUGUAGGAAAAUCUACUUUAUUAAGUACAUUAACACAUACAGAAUCUGAAGCAGCAUCUUAUGAAUUUACUACAUUAACUUGUAUACCUGGUGUUAUUGAAUAUAAAGGAGCCAAUAUUCAACUUCUUGAUCUUCCUGGAAUAAUUGAAGGUGCUGCACAGGGUAAAGGAAGGGGUAGGCAAGUAAUAGCUGUUGCACGAACAGCUGAUUUAGUUCUUAUGAUGCUAGAUGCUACUAAACAAGAUGUACAAAGACAACUUUUAGAAAAAGAAUUAGAAUCAGUUGGUAUACGACUUAAUAAAAAAAAGCCAAACAUAUAUUUCAAGAUAAAGAAAGGAGGUGGAUUAGCAUUUAACUCAACAUGUCCAUUAACAAAAGUAGAUGAAAAAUUAGUUCAAAUGAUUUUACAUGAAUAUAAAAUUUUCAAUGCAGAAGUUCUAUUUCGCGAAGAUUGUAGUGCAGAUGAAUUAAUUGAUGUAAUUAAUGCCAACAGAGUAUAUUUACCAUGUCUUUAUGUACAUAACAAAAUAGAUCAGAUAUCAAUAGAAGAAGUGGAUAGAAUUGCCAGGCAGCCUAAUAGUGUAGUAGUUAGUUGCAAUAUGAAAUUAAAUUUGGACUUCCUUCUUGAAACAUUAUGGGAAUAUUUAUCUUUAAUAAGAGUUUAUACAAAAAAACCUGGUCAACCACCUGAUUUUGAAGAUGGUUUAAUAUUAAGAAAAGGAGUUACAGUAGAACAUGUAUGUCAUGCAAUUCAUCGUACACUUGCUCAACAAUUUAAAUAUGCUCUUGUUUGGAACAGUCAAAUAAAAGGAUUGAUUAUAUUUGGUCUUAGCUGAAGAAAAUAUAUUAAUAACUGAACAUAACAUAUGCUAUCAUUGAAUAUAAAACGAGGAAAUGUGACUGAAGAAUUCAUAGAAGAUGGAAAUGCAUGAAUUACUCCACUACUUUUGAAUACUAGCAUAAAAGGAGAUAAAACCGCGUAAAGGGCCCCAUCAGUGGACAGCACUGUUUUAGAACAAAAAAAAAAAUUGGGUACAAGUACCAAAUAUUCACCCCAACGAGUUGGAUUACAACAUAUUAUGCAUGAUGAAGAUGUUAUUCAAAUAGUUAAAAAAUAAAAUUUAUAUAAUUAUAAAUUAUUUGUGAAAAUAGCAAAAGUAGAAUAUUACAUAA